RNAcentral lists this long non-coding RNA (2288 nucleotides) under Canis lupus familiaris (dog). RNAcentral's name for it is "lncRNA (ENSCAFG00845005512.1)". The record is from RNAcentral. Lineage: Eukaryota; Metazoa; Chordata; Mammalia; Carnivora; Canidae.
GAGACAAAAUAUUAUUUCAACAUAUUUUAACCAGUGUAAAAAUUGUGAAAUAAUUAUCAUUAUUAUUUCAUGAGGCAUUUUAUGUUAUGUUUUGCAUUGUCUUCAAAACCCAGUGUGUGUUUUAUAAAAGUUGUAGCAGUUCAUACACUGAAUUACUUGAUCCAUAUUUAGAUUUAUAAAACUUAGUGUUUAAAAGUAGGUUCACAUGGUUCUUCCAAACAUAUCUUGUUAUUCUAAAUAUGCUUAAAGUUUUCCAGUAACUGGACCAAAUUACCAAAGUAAUUCAAAGGAAUUACUUUACUCUGAUACUUGCAUCCACAUUGACAAAACAGUUCAUCUUUCUUAUUAGAAGAAUUGAUUUUGAAGCAAAAGCAUAUCAUUUAGAAAACUGUUUGUUCAAGUAAAUUCACUAACUCUUAUAUCAUCUCAGUAUUAUUAACAGCAAAUUUGGCAUAAAGUAGUGCAUAAAAUGGAAACAAAACUAAAUUUAUCCAUAUCAACAAACCAGUACUUUCAUUUGUCUUGUUUUAUUUUUUGUAGCUAACUUAUGUAAGAUGCUGCUGAUUACAUUUAAAAUUUGUAUAUUGACCCAAUGUUAGAAAAAUAUGUACAAUUGUCAUUUUUUAUUUGUAUCAUGAAAUAUUUGUUUUAACUAAAGUAUUUCACCUAAGUAGGUACAAGUUUUUCCUGUUCUAAGGAGCUUCAAAAUUAGCAUAUUCAUAUGCAGUGUUAUGUUAAGGAGAAUUCUUGCUCUGCCACUUUUUGUCUUUGGUUUUUGAAUAUAUGGCAGGCAUUCCUUUGUUUUAAGAAAACCUUGAAUUGGAAUUUUUUUUUUUUGAAUUGGAAUUUCUAGUACAGGGAAUCUUUGUAAAAAUUCUUUUAUAACUCAACCAAGGAACAUUAGUAAAAACACAAGAUCACUAAAAAAUAUUCUCUUCACCAGUUCCCUAACCUGGCAAUGAAUAUUUUAUAGCAUUUGCACAUACAUACUGAAGAAUUUUAACAUCUGUAUUCAUGACUCUUUCUAGAGUCUGCUUUAGAAAACCGAACACAAAUAUUUUCAAUAGUUACCAGACAGUGAAACAAAAGAAUGAGGGAAACAUCAUUCUCUUGCUUUAAAAUUCCAGUACUUUUGGUCUUUUGACAACAUAGUUGGAGUCUCAUCAUAGAAACUAAUUUUUCUAUGUCUAGCUGAAAUUCUUCCAACAGAUGAGAAAAUGUCAAAAACACCUGUCAUGAGUUUGAGUUUUUAGGCAAUGAAUUGACAUUUCUUCAUAAAUUUGGAUGUUCUUUGAGACAGAAUGUACCAAAAUUUUCAAUGGGAACUGUCUUAUGUGACUCAUCUAAAAGUAAAUACUUGCAACUUUUCAAUUUGUGAGUCAAUUAAUCUUUAUUAGUAUUAGAAAUUUCUUGUAUUCUGUGAACAACAUUGUUUAGAGGGUUAAUUGAAAAGUUCGAUUUUUGUAAAUGUCUUCAAGUCUUAUAAUUUUCUAACGAAAUUACCAUAACUAAAAUGAUAAUUUCAUCAUCUCUCCGCCUAAGAUUCUUUGUAUGUGUGUGUUCAAGAAUUCAAGUAUUGUAGAGUUGGCCAAAUUUACAAGCUCAGCAAUGCUGUUAAACUUUUUUUUUUUAUGGAAAUUACUCAUUUCAUGUGACCGUUUUGUGGGUUUUUUUGACUGUUAGAAUACUUAUCGAACUAACUAGAUCGUUGCUGAAAAUGACAAAUACUAGCUGUUGUCUUAAAUAUUGUCUACAGUAUUGAACACUUUUGUAUACAACAAACAGCUUUUUCAUUUUGCUGUGCCUGCAGUAAGUUGCAAUCGCCAUUCAUCAUCGAAUGUGCACUCUACCCCCACCCCCUUUUCUCUUGAUUGUACUAGUUGUAGUACUGGCUUCUGUAGUGAACUGAAUUCUGCCUCAGUAAUAUGCCUUCGUUUAAAAUUUAAAUAUUUUCCCGUAUUUUUUUAAUCUAGAAAAUAAUUAUAAUUAAAAUAGCAUCUCAGUUGAUGAUUAUGAUUUGCAUAGGUAUCACUGUAACUUGUGCUGUCUACCUUGGUAUACUUGAACUUGUGCUAACCACAUAAAAUAUCCAAGUAAACACAUCGUGAUGUUAUCUCAGUGCAUAGAAGAAAAUCAUCUGAACCAAAUCAAUCUGUUGAUACUGCCUAGAUUGGUGAAGUGUUUAUCUGUAAUACUAGAACUAAUGCACGUUCCUGUACAAGCAUUACAGUACAGCAACAUCCUAUGCGAUGCAACAGUUAAAGUGAAUUGUAGUUCUAUGAAAACAA